AAAUUGAAGAGUUUGAUCAUGGCUCAGAUUGAACGCUGGCGGCAGGUCUAACACAUGCAAGUCGAACGGUAACAGGAAGCAGCUUGCUGCUUUGCUGACGAGUGGCGGACGGGUGAGUAAUGUCUGGGAAACUGCC
RNAcentral lists this ribosomal RNA (136 nucleotides) under Escherichia coli. RNAcentral describes it as "partial 16S ribosomal RNA". It matches the Rfam family "Bacterial small subunit ribosomal RNA", at positions 1 to 130 of the family's 1533-position model. Lineage: Bacteria; Pseudomonadati; Pseudomonadota; Gammaproteobacteria; Enterobacterales; Enterobacteriaceae. The record is from RNAcentral.